RNAcentral lists this ribosomal RNA (253 nucleotides) under uncultured bacterium. RNAcentral describes it as "partial 16S ribosomal RNA". It matches the Rfam family "Bacterial small subunit ribosomal RNA", at positions 524 to 776 of the family's 1533-position model. The record is from RNAcentral.
UACGGAGGGUGCAAGCGUUGUCCGGAUUUAUUGGGUUUAAAGGGUGCGUAGGCGGUCUUUUAAGUCAGUGGUGAAAUCCUCCAGCUCAACUGGAGAACUGCCAUUGAUACUGGAAGACUUGAGUAUAGAAGAGGAAAGUGGAAUUCCAAGUGUAGCGGUGAAAUGCGUAGAGAUUUGGAGGAACACCAGUGGCGAAGGCGACUUUCUGGUCUGUAACUGACACUGAGGCGCGAAAGCGUGGGGAGCGAACAGG